UAAGGGCGCACGGUGGAUGCCUUGGCACUAGAAGCCGAUGAAGGACGUUACUAACGACGAUAUGCUUUGGGGAGCUGUAAGUAAGCUUUGAUCCAGAGAUUUCCGAAUGGGGAAACCCAGCAUGAGUUAUGUCAUGUUAUCGAUAUGUGAAUACAUAGCAUAUCAGAAGGCACACCCGGAGAACUGAAACAUCUUAGUACCCGGAGGAAGAGAAAGAAAAUUCGAUUCCCUUAGUAGCGGCGAGCGAAACGGGAAGAGCCCAAACCAACAAGCUUGCUUGUUGGGGUUGUAGGACACUCUAUACGGAGUUACAAAGGACGACAUUAGACGAAUCAUCUGGAAAGAUGAAUCAAAGAAGGUAAUAAUCCUGUAGUCGAAAAUGUUGUCUCUCUUGAG
RNAcentral lists this ribosomal RNA (396 nucleotides) under Staphylococcus aureus. Its description in RNAcentral is "partial 23S ribosomal RNA". It matches the Rfam family "Bacterial large subunit ribosomal RNA", at positions 12 to 401 of the family's 2925-position model. Lineage: Bacteria; Bacillati; Bacillota; Bacilli; Caryophanales; Staphylococcaceae. The record is from RNAcentral.